Molecule: ribosomal RNA, 460 nt
Filed under: uncultured bacterium
Lineage: Bacteria
Description: partial 16S ribosomal RNA
Rfam family: Bacterial small subunit ribosomal RNA
Source: RNAcentral
CCUACGGGGGACAGCAGUGAGGAAUAUUGGUCAAUGGACGCAAGUCUGAACCAGCCAUGCCGCGUGCAGGAAGACGGCUCUAUGAGUUGUAAACUGCUUUUGUACGAGGGUAAACGCAGAUACGCGUAUCUGUCUGAAAGUAUCGUACGAAUAAGGAUCGGCUAACUCCGUGCCAGCAGCCGCGGUAAUACGGAGGAUUCAAGCGUUAUCCGGAUUUAUUGGGUUUAAAGGGUGCGUAGGCGGUCGGAUAAGUUAGAGGUGAAAUCCCGAGGCUCAACUUCGGAAUUGCCUCUGAUACUGUUCGUCUAGAGUGUAGUUGCGGUAGGCGGAAUGUAUGGUGUAGCGGUGAAAUGCUUAGAGAUCAUACAGAACACCGAUUGCGAAGGCAGCUUACCAAGCUACUUCUGACGUUGAGGCACGAAAGCGUGGGGAGCAAACAGGAUUAGAUACCCUGGUAGUC